This 548-nucleotide ribosomal RNA is filed under the name Actinomycetota bacterium. Its description in RNAcentral is "bacterial SSU rRNA". It matches the Rfam family "Bacterial small subunit ribosomal RNA", at positions 1 to 535 of the family's 1533-position model. Lineage: Bacteria; Bacillati; Actinomycetota. The record is from RNAcentral.
UUCACGGAGAGUUUGAUCCUGGCUCAGGACGAACGCUGGCGGCGUGCUUAACACAUGCAAGUCGAGCGAGAAAGCACCUUCGGGUGUGAGUACAGCGGCGAACGGGUGAGUAACACGUGGGCAACCUGCCCCAGAGACUGGGAUAACGUCCCGAAAGGGACGCUAAUACCGGAUGAUGCGCGACCUGCCAAGUGGGUCGCGCCAAAUGGUAGCGUAAGCUUCUACUCUGGGAUGGGCCCGCGCCGGAUUAGCUUGUUGGUGAGGUAACGGCUCACCAAGGCGACGAUCCGUAGCUGGUCUGAGAGGACGAUCAGCCACACUGGGACUGAGACACGGCCCAGACUCCUACGGGAGGCAGCAGUGGGGAAUCUUGCGCAAUGGGCGAAAGCCUGACGCAGCAACGCCGCGUGAGCGAAGACGGCCUUCGGGUUGUAAAGCUCUGUCAGGAGGGACGAAGCCACUCAGGUGAAUAGCCGAGAGGGUGACGGUACCUCCAGAGGAAGCCCCGGCUAACUACGUGCCAGCAGCCGCGGUAAUACGUAGGGGGC